This 969-nucleotide ribosomal RNA is filed under the name Leptotila verreauxi (white-tipped dove). RNAcentral's name for it is "12S ribosomal RNA". The record is from RNAcentral. Lineage: Eukaryota; Metazoa; Chordata; Aves; Columbiformes; Columbidae.
GUGUGCUAAGUGCACCUUCCGGUACACUUACCUUGUUACGACUUACCUCAUCUUUAGCGGAAGAGUGAAUUAUUUAUGAGUUGCUUAGCUUGUGAGGAGGGUGACGGGCGGUAUGUACGUGCCUCAGAGCCGGCUUAAAGAGGGCUUUAUUAUCCCGCUUUACUGCUAAAUCCGCCUUUUGGAGGUUGUUUCACACCUCCUUCCGUGAAUUUUCUAGGUUAGAAAAUGUAGCCCAUUUCUUCCACUCCAUGGGCUAUACCUUGACCUGUCUUAUUAGCGGGGUUAGGGCGAUUGUGCUCACUGUAGUACUCUCAGAGGAGGUGAGCUGGCGACGGCGGUAUGUAGGCUGUUUUAGCAAGGAGUGGUCGGGUCCAUCGUGGGUUAUCGAUUAUAGAACAGGCUCCUCUAGGUGGGUUUGGGGCACCGCCAAGUCCUUAGAGUUUUAAGCGUUUGUGCUCGUAGUCCCCAGGCGGAUGCUUUAGUAGUGGAAGCAUCUAGAUUUAGGGCCAGGCAUAGUGGGGUAUCUAAUCCCAGUUUGUGCCCUGGCUUUAGUGGAGUUUAAUAGAUCGUGAAAAUUAAGGUCACCUUUAGGGUGGUUUUAAAUGUACCUUAAGCUUAUGACAGCUCAGCCACACUUUGACCUUAAAUACUGCGAUAGGCAUGGGUCCACUCUUUACGCCGUGAACAAUUAAUUUGGGUCCCUUGUGUGACCGCGGUGGCUGGCACAAGAUUUACCAACCCUGGGGGCUGCUAUGACUAAGUCAAGUUUACACUUAUUGCCUAAUGUUAACUACUGCUGAGUACCCGUGGGGGCGUGGCUGGGCUAGGCGUCUUGGGCUGCAAUGGGCGUGCCUGAUGCCGGCUCCUUUUACCUAUAGCGUAGUGAUUGAGGGCAUUUACACUGGAGCGCGGAUACUUGCAUGUAUAUGUCUAGCAGGAACUAAUUGUAAGGUUAGGACUAAGUCUUUU